UGUUCUAUGGCCGAACUGGUAAAGGCAUUGCCGAUCACAGCCAAGGUUGCGGGUUCGAGUCCCGCUGGAUCGG
This 73-nucleotide transfer RNA is filed under the name Operophtera brumata (winter moth). It matches the Rfam family "tRNA". Rfam says of the family: Transfer RNA (tRNA) molecules are approximately 80 nucleotides in length. Their secondary structure includes four short double-helical elements and three loops (D, anti-codon, and T loops). Lineage: Eukaryota; Metazoa; Arthropoda; Insecta; Lepidoptera; Geometridae. The record is from Rfam by way of RNAcentral.